This 1212-nucleotide ribosomal RNA is filed under the name Triticum aestivum (bread wheat). RNAcentral's name for it is "partial small subunit ribosomal RNA". Lineage: Eukaryota; Viridiplantae; Streptophyta; Magnoliopsida; Poales; Poaceae. The record is from RNAcentral.
AUGUCACGGCAACACUUCUUCCCCAAUCCCCAAACUGAAACCCUCGAUCGACACCAUUUCCCCCAAUCUCCAAACCCCGGCGAGCUCGCCGGCGGCCGCAGCCGUGCCGAUCCGUCCCCGCUUCAGCUUCCCCCGGAUGACCUGCUCAGGGAGAUCCUCCUCCGCCUCCCGCCGGAGCCCAUCCACCUCUUCCGCGCCUCCGUCGUCUCCAAGCACUGGCGCAGCCUCGUCCACGACGCCCGCUUCCGCCGCCGCUUCCGCGAGUUCCACGGGGGCACGCCUCCCGUGCUCGGCUUCUUCCACAACCAGCUGGGGCAUUCCCUCUUCGUCCCCACCUCUGGCGGCUUCGCGCUCUCCACCGCCUCGAUGCGCCACGGCGAGUGGCGGACCCUCGACUGCCGCCACGGCCGCGCCCUCCUGCACAACAACCGCACCAGGACGCUCCUCGUCUGGGACCCCAUGACCGGCGACGAGCGCUACCUACCAUUCCCCACUCAAGCCCAUCUGGAGAUUGUCCAGUACGAUGGCGCGGUUCUCUGCGCGGCUGGCCACUCGGACCACGGCGACUGCCAUUGGUGCCCGUUCCUCGUGGCAUUCGUGUUCAGCAACCACAGAGAUCUCAUCACCUCUGCCUGCGUCUACUCGUCCGAGACCGGCGUUUGGGGUGAGAUCACUUCGAUUCAUAUUCGAGAUUCAAUAGUUGAUGCAAGCCCGACAGCUCUGCUUGGAAGCACACUUUACUGGCUGUCUGAAAAUGAUAGCAUCAUUGAGUUAGAUUUGGAUAAGAAUAGCUUGGAUUUCAUCGAGGUGCCAUAUGCCGGACAGAUUAUCAUCAUACUGAUAGAGGAUGGUGGUCUAGGUUUUGCCGGUGUUGAUCAAUUCAGCCUUCAUUUCUGGUCAAGGGCAGCUAGCAUCGAUGGGGUAAGAUCAUGGACACAUCGCAGGGUCAUUGAUCUGGAGAAACUUCUUGCACCAGAAGUAGUGGCAGCGUGUAUGAAUCGAGUGUUUCCAGUUGGCUACGCUGAAGACGCUAAUGUGAUCUUCAUUUAUGUGUAUCCAAGCAUCUAUAUGAUCCAUCUGAACUCCAUGCAUAUUGAGGAGGUGUCAGAGAAAGGGACCUAUUGGUUUGUCUUUCCUUACACAAGUUUCUACACCCCAGGAAUCACCACUGGUGGUGGAGAUGAUCAAGCUGUACUGUUGAACGGCAGUUGA